This 329-nucleotide unclassified non-coding RNA is filed under the name soil metagenome. RNAcentral's name for it is "partial contains 5.8S ribosomal RNA, internal transcribed spacer 2, and large subunit ribosomal RNA". The stretch from base 1 to 120 matches the Rfam family "5.8S ribosomal RNA", at positions 35 to 154 of the family's 154-position model. The record is from RNAcentral.
GAUGAAGAAUGCAGCGAAAUGCGAUAAGUAGUGUGAAUUGCAGAAUUCAGUGAAUCAUCGAAUCUUUGAACGCACAUUGCGCCCCUUGGUAUCCCGAGGGGCAUGCCUGUUCGAGCGUCAUUUCACCACUCAAGCCUGGCUUGGUGUUGGGCGACGUCCUCUUUGGGGACGCGCCUCGAAACGCUCGGCGGCGUGGCACCGGCUUUAAGCGUAGCAGAAUCUUUCGCUUUGGAAGUCGGGGCCCCGUCUGCCGGAAGACCUGCUCGCAAGGUUGACCUCGGAUCAGGCAGGGAUACCCGCUGAACUUAAGCAUAUCAAUAAGCGGUGGA